RNAcentral lists this ribosomal RNA (205 nucleotides) under uncultured bacterium. RNAcentral describes it as "partial 16S ribosomal RNA". It matches the Rfam family "Bacterial small subunit ribosomal RNA", at positions 1296 to 1500 of the family's 1533-position model. The record is from RNAcentral.
GAUCGCAGGCUGNAACCCGCCUGCGUGAAGUUGGAAUUGCUAGUAAUCGCGGAUCAGCAUGCCGCGGUGAAUACGUUCCCGGGCCUUGUACACACCGCCCGUCACACCAUGGGAGCCGGUAAUACCCGAAGUCAGUAGCCUAACCGCAAGGGGGGAGCUGCCGAAGGCAGGCCUGGUGACUGGGGUGAAGUCGUAACAAGGUAAC